CUUCCGUUAAUUAUAAGAGAUUAGUAAUCAAUCUUUGCGAGGGGUCAAAUAGCACGCCCGAGUAAAUAUUCGAGUUUAAGGACAAAACACAGCGUGCAGCACGACUUACACGAAAUCAGCUGGAUUCCAUGAAACGGCCAAAUUAUGACCGACACGUUGGCCAAUCCUUCGGUACACUUUGCUGUCACGUUUCCAGCUCUACAUAUAUAAGAGCCGUAGUGUCCUUCGCAGGAAACUCUCUACUUCUUGGCCUAGAAUUUCCGAACUAAGUAGAAUUCGAUUGCACUGUCAAAUAAUCCCCUCGAUGACAGCGAUUAAAUCCUGACUAUGAGGGCACGAAUAGCAAACUAGGGUUCACCUUAUCACUUGAAAUGUUGAUAUCCAUUAUAAAUUUUGAUGUAAGUCUUUCGAUGACGACGUAAGAAUCUGAUGACAACCUAUUCAGUUAGACUUGCAGCCUGGAUUACACUGUCAAGUGAGUCCUGCUAUGACGACUCACGCAUUUGGCCAGGUUUCUCGAUGAUGGGGUGAGAAUCCUAUGACGACCUAUUCCACUUGCAACUUGGAUUUCCCAGUCAAGUGAGCCCUGCGAUGACGACUCAGCAUCUGACCAAGACAGAAGAAAAGGCCACCGUGGAUUCACCUUUUCCACUUAUUGUCAGAACUGCGCCGGAACCGAGUUUCGAGACCGAUGAUGUGGCUCUUCGAGACCACGAACUUUGUUCCCAAUUGACUGCCCCGGACCUGCAUUUGAGUGCAUUGGAUAAUUGAGGCAAAUUAGCAACAUCGUACCCAAUGUGGACGACCUCGGAGUCGAUUUUUGAAAUUUCGGGGGCGUUACUAUUGCCAGCCGCGUGAAACGUUUCAUCACGGAAACACGUCAGCUGAUGCAUUAUACAUUGAGCGUACCUUGUCAAGGGACGUUUCCACCUGUAUGCAGUACACGGAGCGCAAUUCUGCGGCGAAAUCACAGGAGGAUUUCGCAAUUAGGCCCGACGCUAACAUUGCGUUUACCCGCGAGACAAGUGAAGGUGGAUGAGAGCUCGUCGUGACGGAAUUACAAUUAGCCGGGCAGUGUUUUACCGUAUUUGCAGUGCAAUCGGUAGUACACUUACCCCGACGGUAGUUUUUCCUCGCAGGAUCGGUUUGUCCGAAGCGAAUAACGCAAGACAAGUCGGCAAAUUCCGAGAGAGCGUGAAGUCGAGACACUCCGAGAAAGUUGGGCGAAUGUUUAAGGGAGCUGCAAAACCUAUC
Long non-coding RNA from Orussus abietinus, 1254 nucleotides. RefSeq lists it as uncharacterized. The record is from RefSeq and is a predicted model, not a curated record. The transcript has 4 exons. NCBI's taxonomy places the organism in Eukaryota, Metazoa, Arthropoda, Insecta, Hymenoptera, Orussidae.